Molecule: transfer RNA, 71 nt
Filed under: Camelus bactrianus (Bactrian camel)
Lineage: Eukaryota; Metazoa; Chordata; Mammalia; Artiodactyla; Camelidae
Also listed under: 2 other names
Rfam family: tRNA
About the family: Transfer RNA (tRNA) molecules are approximately 80 nucleotides in length. Their secondary structure includes four short double-helical elements and three loops (D, anti-codon, and T loops).
Source: Rfam by way of RNAcentral
GAGGGUAUAGCUCAGUGGUAGAGUGCGUGCCUAGCAUGCACACGGUCCUGAUUCAAUCCCCAGUACCUCCA